GACUUGUAACUCUUUAGCAGUGUUCUCCUGUAUUUCUUUCAGUGAGUUACAAAAGUUCUUCUUGAUGUCCUCUACCAUCAUCAUGAGAUAUGCUUUUAAACCCGGGUCUAGCUUUUUGGUUGUGUUGGGGUGCCCAGGACUAGGUGGCUUGGGAGUGCUGCGUUCUGAUGAUGAUAUCUCUGGUGUUGGCUUGUCUGGUAGUCACAGGGUAUCCUGGGUUUGAGCAUGUCUCCCAGGAGGCAGUCAGUGCUGUGGGAUGAGGACCUAUAAUUGCAGGUGGAAGUGUGGACUGGAAGGAAGAAGGAGCUCCUAUAGGCUGAAGCAGAGCUCAUGCCUGCUGUGCUUGCUGUGAUCCCAGUAGGUGUAGCUCAGUCAGAUCUACUCUCAAACUCUUCCUCAUUCAAAGAUCUUCCUCAUUCAAGCUCAAGUCCUUUUCUUUUUGCCUGGGAAGACAGGAUUUCAGUUGAGGAAUUACUCACAUCAGAACGGCCUGUGAUCACUUCUUUGGAGAAUUUUCUUCAUUGUCGAUUGAUGUGGAAUCCCAGGCCAAGGAAUCAUCAUUUAAAGAGAUUCAUGAAGAAUCAGAUCUCCACUUUCCUGUCUCAUCAUCAUAUCCAUCAGUGGUUGGCUCACUCAUGGAGGUCCAUGUCAACAGGAAACAGUAUGCAGCACAGAAUGAGCUUAUCAGGGUUUCUGGAAGAGGAUUACUAGUGUUGGGGUCACAUUUCCUAUCAUUUUUAUGUUAAAAGGAUAUAGCAUUGUACAUGCAGCUAGAUUUAUAUCAAAGCAAAUCCACAUACAUUUUAAAAAGAUUC
This 815-nucleotide long non-coding RNA is filed under the name Mus musculus (house mouse). RNAcentral's name for it is "predicted gene, 50061". The record is from RNAcentral. Lineage: Eukaryota; Metazoa; Chordata; Mammalia; Rodentia; Muridae.